AUACCAUGGUGGGGACAUUACCUUAAUAACUCUUUGAAUAUUUCUCAAACAUCAAAUAAGGAUUCAUCAUCUCCUUGUCUAAAUGAAGUAAUUUCAUUCCUCAUCUU
Lathyrus oleraceus (garden pea) is the source of this 107-nucleotide small nucleolar RNA. NCBI's taxonomy places the organism in Eukaryota, Viridiplantae, Streptophyta, Magnoliopsida, Fabales, Fabaceae. The record is from RefSeq and is a predicted model, not a curated record.